Paramuricea clavata is the source of this 120-nucleotide non-coding RNA. Lineage: Eukaryota; Metazoa; Cnidaria; Anthozoa; Malacalcyonacea; Plexauridae. The record is from the annotation of a GenBank genome assembly.
UUUAUACGUCGAAUUUUGGUCGCGUCGAAUGCAAUUAAGACAAUGAGAUUAUAAACUUCAUUCUGCUUCAUUAUCUACUGUUUGAAUUGCAUUCGACGCGACCGAAAUUCGACGUAUAAA